RNAcentral lists this ribosomal RNA (508 nucleotides) under uncultured bacterium. RNAcentral describes it as "partial 16S ribosomal RNA". It matches the Rfam family "Bacterial small subunit ribosomal RNA", at positions 30 to 523 of the family's 1533-position model. The record is from RNAcentral.
AUUGAACGCUGGCGGCAUGCCUAACACAUGCAAGUCGAACGGCAGCACGACCUAGCUUGCUAGGUUGGUGGCGAGUGGCGCACGGGUGAGUAAUGCGUAGGAAUAUACCUUAAAGUGGGGGACAACUUGGGGAAACUCAGGCUAAUACCGCAUGAGCUCUAAGGAGGAAAGCUGGGGACCUUUCGGGGCCUGGCGCUUUAAGAAUAGCUUACGUCCGAUUAGUUAGUUGGUGGGGUAAAGGCUUACCAAGACGAUGAUCGGUAGCUGGUCUGAGAGGAGGAUCAGCCACACUGGGACUGAGACACGGCCCAGACUCCUACGGGAGGCAGCAGUGGGGAAUAUUGGACAAUGGGGGAAACCCUGAUCCAGCGAUGCCGCGUGUGUGAAGAAGGCCUGCGGGUUGUAAAGCACUUUUGGUGGGGAGGAGGACUUAUAGGUUAAGAGCUAAUGAGUUGGACGUUACCCACAUAAGAAGCACCGGCUAACUCCGUGCCAGCAGCCGCCGCCG